Molecule: ribosomal RNA, 449 nt
Filed under: uncultured bacterium
Lineage: Bacteria
Description: partial 16S ribosomal RNA
Rfam family: Bacterial small subunit ribosomal RNA
Source: RNAcentral
AACGAACGCUGGCGGCAUGCCUAACACAUGCAAGUCGAACGAGAUCUUCGGGUCUAGUGGCGCACGGGUGCGUAACGCGUGGGAAUCUGCCCUUUGGUUCGGAAUAACAGUUGGAAACGACUGCUAAUACCGGAUGAUGACGAAAGUCCAAAGAUUUAUCGCCAGAGGAUGAGCCCGCGUAGGAUUAGCUAGUUGGUGUGGUAAAGGCGCACCAAGGCGACGAUCCUUAGCUGGUCUGAGAGGAGGAUCAGCCACACUGGGACUGAGACACGGCCCAGACUCCUACGGGUGGCAGCAGUGGGGAAUCUUGGACAAUGGGCGAAAGCCUGAUCCAGCAAUGCCGCGUGAGUGAUGAAGGCCUUAGGUUUGUAAAGCUCUUUUACCCGGGAUGAUAAUGACAGUACCGGGAGAAUAAGCUCCGGCUAACUCCGUGCCAUCCGCCGCCGUAA